Molecule: long non-coding RNA, 1144 nt
Organism: Dreissena polymorpha
Lineage: Eukaryota; Metazoa; Mollusca; Bivalvia; Myida; Dreissenidae
Exons: 3
Source: RefSeq, a predicted model, not a curated record
AAGGGAGGCAACUGCGUACGGCUCAUUUAUUACUGAAAAAUUCCUGCGCGAAAUCUCGUUCAUAAAAAUAGUGCUGAUAGGGGGUCGGAAUUACGUCGUUUUUAAGGUGGUUUUCGAUUGGAUAUGGUUAAAAUAACCACUAAUCAUAUAAGUUAAUACAUUUAUGUUCGCAGGCAAAGCACUUUCGUUUCCACACAGUUGCGUUGAAGAUUAAAAGAAAGCCUCAGAAAAUUUCCAAGAUCGAGAUAAAUAGGUAAGAUACAUUGCCCAGUAGAAAAAUUGCUUUUAUUUUGUAGGUUAAUCAUUCUCCUUUCCAUUCAUGCCACUAAUUGCUUUGCAAAAUGCCGUGAUUCUGCUGGUUGUUGCUAAUGUAUGGACCCACUAUUGACCCGUUUCAUGAAUGGCAAGAUGGCCGCCGUUGUUGAAAAUUCAUACGACACAUAUGUCUGAUACUAAUAAGUCAGAGUCUCAGGAUUGGGAAGAGUUUGACUCGGAGUCUGACAGUGAGCGUUCGGAGUCUGACAGUAAGCGUGUAUCACCGCAGCCAGGUCAAUUUACACAGGGCCGGGCUGCAGUCGCUGAAAAGUUGAAGCUUCCGCAUCAGAGUACCGCAAGAAGCUGCCGUUUGUGAAUGCGCCCCGAUAGAGGAGAUUGAGGCAAAGAAGCUGAAGGCAGCGGGGGGAAAAGAGAAGAAAUCAGGAAGAAAUCGCCAUAGGCGAUAACUGAAUAUAAGAUUUUUUAAACCAUUGGAUAGGUUUGUUCGUCACCUAUCUUAGGAAAAAUACUUACAGAUACAUUGAAGUUCAAAUAACUUGUGUUAGGUCUUAUUUAAAUAAGAAGAAUUUUGGUUUUUGAACCUAUUUAAUGAAGCAAAUGAUUUUACUUUUGUUAAACAUGUUUGACAGUGAACUAUUGUCUUCAUGUUAACCUUAUUUAAGUUUUGGCUGUUGUUCUUGUGGUGUAUUUAUAAUUUGAGGACUUAUUUUAACUAAUGGACAAUUUAUUUUAAUUGAGUGAACAACGUAUAAAACUUGUCAAAACUAUUGAAAGCCCCCAUAAGAAUUUCACCGUUUUGUAGUGACCACUAUGUCUGCUCAUGACACUGUCGGUCUGACAUGUGAGAGUGCAGUUGAAGUAAAUUGCC